This 275-nucleotide long non-coding RNA is filed under the name Mytilus galloprovincialis (Mediterranean mussel). Lineage: Eukaryota; Metazoa; Mollusca; Bivalvia; Mytilida; Mytilidae. The record is from RNAcentral.
GUACAAAUUAAAAUUGCAAUUACGGUAACCACUAAUAACCGGCGUUGAUCACAUUACAUUCAUAUUAAUAAAAAGAAUCUAUAAAACCAAUGCAUGAAAUAUUUGGCACUGGACGUUAUGUCUCUUGAUCGUGUGUCUUUAGUGAUGCUGGAAACCUAAAAUUUAUUAAAAAAAACGGAUAACCAGUUUAUGAUUUGAUGAGUUUUUGAAAUACACACAAAUUCAGAUGGAGAACUAUUAACAAAAGUUAAAAAAAAAAUGCUGCUUAACGCCCG